GCUCGGAUGGUGAAAUUGGUAGACACGCUGGACUUAAAAUCCAGUGAACAGUAAUGUUCGUGCGGGUUCAAUUCUCUCUCUGAGUACUA
This 89-nucleotide transfer RNA is filed under the name Flavobacterium faecale. RNAcentral's name for it is "tRNA-Leu". It matches the Rfam family "tRNA". From Rfam's summary of the family: Transfer RNA (tRNA) molecules are approximately 80 nucleotides in length. Their secondary structure includes four short double-helical elements and three loops (D, anti-codon, and T loops). Lineage: Bacteria; Pseudomonadati; Bacteroidota; Flavobacteriia; Flavobacteriales; Flavobacteriaceae. The record is from RNAcentral.